ACGUGCUUGCACUGAUUUUAACAAUGAAGCGAGUGGCGAACUGGUGAGUAACACGUGGGAAAUCUGCCCAGAAGCAGGGGAUAACACUUGGAAACAGGUGCUAAUACCGUAUAACAACAAAAUCCGCAUGGAUUUUGUUUGAAAGGUGGCUUCGGCUAUCACUUCUGGAUGAUCCCGCGGCGUAUUAGUUAGUUGGUGAGGUAAAGGCCCACCAAGACGAUGAUACGUAGCCGACCUGAGAGGGUAAUCGGCCACAUUGGGACUGAGACACGGCCCAAACUCCUACGGGAGGCAGCAGUAGGGAAUCUUCCACAAUGGACGAAAGUCUGAUGGAGCAAUGCCGCGUGAGUGAAGAAGGGUUUCGGCUCGUAAAACUCUGUUGUUAAAGAAGAACACCUUUGAGAGUAACUGUUCAAGGGUUGACGGUAUUUAACCAGAAAGCCACGGCUAACUACGUGCCAGCAGCCGCGGUAAUACGUAGGUGGCAAGCGUUGUCCGGAUUUAUUGGGCGUAAAGCGAGCGCAGGCGGUUUUUUAAGUCUGAUGUGAAAGCCUUCGGCUUAACCGGAGAAGUGCAUCGGAAACUGGGAGACUUGAGUGCAGAAGAGGACAGUGGAACUCCAUGUGUAGCGGUGGAAUGCGUAGAUAUAUGGAAGAACACCAGUGGCGAAGGCGGCUGUCUAGUCUGUAACUGACGCUGAGGCUCGAAAGCAUGGGUAGCGAACAGGAUUAGAUACCCUGGUAGUCCAUGCCGUAAACGAUGAGUGCUAAGUGUUUGGAAGGGUUUCCGCCCUUCAGUGCUGCAGCUAACGCAUUAAGCACUCCGCCUGGGGGAGUACGACCGCAAGGUUGAAACUCAAAGGAAUUGACGGGGGCCCGCACAAGCGGUGGAGCAUUGUGGUUUAAUUCGAAGCUACGCGAAGAACCUUACCAGGUCUUGACAUCUUCUGCCAAUCUUAGAAGAUAAGACGUUCCCUUCGGGGACAGAAUGACAGGGGGGU
Molecule: ribosomal RNA, 1000 nt
Filed under: Levilactobacillus brevis
Lineage: Bacteria; Bacillati; Bacillota; Bacilli; Lactobacillales; Lactobacillaceae
Description: bacterial SSU rRNA
Rfam family: Bacterial small subunit ribosomal RNA
Source: RNAcentral